GCUGAAUAUAGUUUUUCCAUUGGAUUAGUCUAAAAGGUAAAAGCAAAUGCGUGUCUUUAGAGCAUCUCUUCUUGUGCACAUCAAAUAUACAGUGUGUUGAAGGCCUGGGAGGCCAUCCGACCUCCUACCUGAUGGAUUACACUAGGUUAGUGUCACGUUUUACUAACGCUCCCUAGAAAACCUUAUUUUAGAAACAUUUCCUGCCUCAUUUUAUCUGAGUUUGCUCAAGGAACUGAAAUCAUCAUGUCCUGAGCUACAUGCCAUGUGCAAGGUCUCUGGCUUAGCACACAGAAAACUCAGAGGAAUUGUAAUUCAGUGAUUCUUGCCAUCUGCAAGCCUGUGGAAUUCAGGUGCCCACAGGAAGGAAUGGAGAGUUUUUUCCAGCCUGACCGUAUCAGCCAUCUCACCACAAGAACCUUCUGUUUUGGCUGUCGUCCCUCUAUCAGACUCAGGCUGCUCCUUAUGGCCAACUAG
This 474-nucleotide long non-coding RNA is filed under the name Callithrix jacchus (white-tufted-ear marmoset). RNAcentral describes it as "lncRNA (ENSCJAG00000059425.2)". The record is from RNAcentral. Lineage: Eukaryota; Metazoa; Chordata; Mammalia; Primates; Cebidae.